AGUGUUGUGGCUCAGUGGUAGAGCACUUGCCUAGCACAUGUGAGAUACUGGGUUUGAACCCCAGCAUCACAU
This 72-nucleotide transfer RNA is filed under the name Urocitellus parryii (Arctic ground squirrel). Its description in RNAcentral is "Spermophilus parryii (Arctic ground squirrel) tRNA". It matches the Rfam family "tRNA". From Rfam's summary of the family: Transfer RNA (tRNA) molecules are approximately 80 nucleotides in length. Their secondary structure includes four short double-helical elements and three loops (D, anti-codon, and T loops). The record is from Rfam by way of RNAcentral. Lineage: Eukaryota; Metazoa; Chordata; Mammalia; Rodentia; Sciuridae. RNAcentral also lists the same sequence under 2 other names.